AUUGAACGCUGGCGGCAUGCCUUACACAUGCAAGCCGAACGGCAGCACGGGAGCAAUCCUGGUGGCGAGUGGCGAACGGGUGAGUAAUGUAUCGGAACGUGCCCAGUCGUGGGGGAUAACGUAGCGAAAGCUACGCUAAUACCGCAUACGAUCUAUGGAUGAAAGCGGGGGAUCGCAAGACCUCGCGCGAUUGGAGCGGCCGAUAUCAGAUUAGGUAGUUGGUGGGGUAAAGGCCCACCAAGCCUGCGAUCUGUAGCUGGUCUGAGAGGACAGCCAGCCACACUGGAACUGAGACACGGUCCAGACUCCUACGGGAGGCAGCAGUGGGGAAUUUUGGACAAUGGGCGCAAGCCUGAUCCAGCAAUGCCGCGUGCAGGAUGAAGGCCUUCGGGUUGUAAACUGCUUUUGUACGGAACGAAACGGCUUUUUCUAAUACAGAGAGCUAAUGACGGUACCGUAAGAAUAAGCACCGGCUAACUACGUGCCAGCAGCCGCCGCCG
Molecule: ribosomal RNA, 500 nt
Filed under: uncultured bacterium
Lineage: Bacteria
Description: partial 16S ribosomal RNA
Rfam family: Bacterial small subunit ribosomal RNA
Source: RNAcentral